This 1515-nucleotide ribosomal RNA is filed under the name Weissella confusa. RNAcentral describes it as "bacterial SSU rRNA". It matches the Rfam family "Bacterial small subunit ribosomal RNA". Lineage: Bacteria; Bacillati; Bacillota; Bacilli; Lactobacillales; Lactobacillaceae. The record is from RNAcentral.
GGAUGAACGCUGGCGGCGUGCCUAAUACAUGCAAGUCGAACGCUUUGUGGUUCAACUGAUUUGAAGAGCUUGCUCAGAUAUGACGAUGGACAUUGCAAAGAGUGGCGAACGGGUGAGUAACACGUGGGAAACCUACCUCUUAGCAGGGGAUAACAUUUGGAAACAGAUGCUAAUACCGUAUAACAAUGACAACCGCAUGGUUGUUAUUUAAAAGAUGGUUCUGCUAUCACUAAGAGAUGGUCCCGCGGUGCAUUAGCUAGUUGGUAAGGUAAUGGCUUACCAAGGCGAUGAUGCAUAGCCGAGUUGAGAGACUGAUCGGCCACAAUGGGACUGAGACACGGCCCAUACUCCUACGGGAGGCAGCAGUAGGGAAUCUUCCACAAUGGGCGAAAGCCUGAUGGAGCAACGCCGCGUGUGUGAUGAAGGGUUUCGGCUCGUAAAACACUGUUGUAAGAGAAGAAUGACAUUGAGAGUAACUGUUCAAUGUGUGACGGUAUCUUACCAGAAAGGAACGGCUAAAUACGUGCCAGCAGCCGCGGUAAUACGUAUGUUCCAAGCGUUAUCCGGAUUUAUUGGGCGUAAAGCGAGCGCAGACGGUUAUUUAAGUCUGAAGUGAAAGCCCUCAGCUCAACUGAGGAAUUGCUUUGGAAACUGGAUGACUUGAGUGCAGUAGAGGAAAGUGGAACUCCAUGUGUAGCGGUGAAAUGCGUAGAUAUAUGGAAGAACACCAGUGGCGAAGGCGGCUUUCUGGACUGUAACUGACGUUGAGGCUCGAAAGUGUGGGUAGCAAACAGGAUUAGAUACCCUGGUAGUCCACACCGUAAACGAUGAGUGCUAGGUGUUUGAGGGUUUCCGCCCUUAAGUGCCGCAGCUAACGCAUUAAGCACUCCGCCUGGGGAGUACGACCGCAAGGUUGAAACUCAAAGGAAUUGACGGGGACCCGCACAAGCGGUGGAGCAUGUGGUUUAAUUCGAAGCAACGCGAAGAACCUUACCAGGUCUUGACAUCCCUUGACAACUCCAGAGAUGGAGCGUUCCCUUCGGGGACAAGGUGACAGGUGGUGCAUGGUUGUCGUCAGCUCGUGUCGUGAGAUGUUGGGUUAAGUCCCGCAACGAGCGCAACCCUUAUUACUAGUUGCCAGCAUUUAGUUGGGCACUCUAGUGAGACUGCCGGUGACAAACCGGAGGAAGGUGGGGAUGACGUCAAAUCAUCAUGCCCCUUAUGACCUGGGCUACACACGUGCUACAAUGGCGUAUACAACGAGUUGCCAACCCGCGAGGGUGAGCUAAUCUCUUAAAGUACGUCUCAGUUCGGAUUGUAGGCUGCAACUCGCCUACAUGAAGUCGGAAUCGCUAGUAAUCGCGGAUCAGCACGCCGCGGUGGAAUACGUUCCCGGGUCUUGUACACACCGCCCGUCACACCAUGAGAGUUUGUAACACCCAAAGCCGGUGGGGUAACCUUCGGGAGCCAGCCGUCUAAGGUGGGACAGAUGAUUAGGGUGAAGUCGUACAAGGG